This is an RNA transcript of Gymnodraco acuticeps, 7762 nucleotides long. It is a transcript of the gene named POZ/BTB and AT hook containing zinc finger 1, with no coding region annotated. NCBI's taxonomy places the organism in Eukaryota, Metazoa, Chordata, Actinopteri, Perciformes, Bathydraconidae. The record is from RefSeq and is a predicted model, not a curated record. The transcript has 9 exons.
UAACGUUUUGUAAAGAAGAUGCGAGAGGCCCCUGCUUUGCUGGGGCGCUACUCCUCUGACAGUCAUUACAAAGAGAGAAAUACAACAAAAAAAACAUAUUCAAUAUCAAACCCAAGAGAAAUAUUUUCCACCGAACAAGAGCGACCCCCACCCCUCAAGAAACCAGGGUCAAAGUUCACAGGAAGCUGGGGGGCUGCCAUUUUCCCCCGCUGCUACUGCUAACGUUUAACGUUAGAUGCUAAAACGACGGGGAGGGGCAGUUGGUUUUGUAUUUUGUAGCUAACUGCUCGAGACAUCACACACGAAUCUGCUGUUUCUCCGACCUUUGACGCUAACAACCAUUGUUAUUGGAUGAAUUCGGCAUGGAGAAGGUAGCGGAGCCGUCUUGGACUUCUUCGUACACCUAUCAGGUGAGCAAGCACAGUGCGGAGAUGCUACACAACCUCAACGUUCAGAGGAAAGAUGGAGGCAGGUUCUGCGAUGUGAUCCUACGCGUCGGCGAGGAGAGCUUCCCGGCACACAAAGCUGUGUUAGCGGCGUGCAGCGAGUAUUUCGAGUCGGUAUUCAGUCGCCAGACGGAUGGCGAAGGCGACGCCAGAGAGCUGGAGAUGCACACAAUCAGCCCCAAAGUUUUUAAAGACGUUUUGGACUUCGCCUACACCUCCAGGAUCGUGGUGCGACUCGAGUGCUUCCCGGAGUUGAUGACAGCUGCCAAGUUCCUGCUGAUGCGGUCCGUUAUUGAGAUAUGUCAGGAGGUAAUCAAACAAUCAAACGUCCAGAUCAUGGUCCCCACGUCGCGGGGAGGAGACGCCAGCCUCUUCCAGGCCACAGCGGCCGCGGAGCUGGGUUUCCCGGUGGCGCAGCAGGAUCUGGUGAACGGCACGGGGCUGCUGGUGAACGGGCAAAGCUUUGCUAACAAUGCACAGAUGCAUGUGGACGGGAGUGAAGACCCCCGUAUUGUGUUAUUGGAGGACGGUGGCGAUCCUUCGAUGCCACUGUUGGAGCCUGUCGAUGGACUGUCCGUUUCCCCAUCAACGGAAAUACCGGGGAACACGUUCCAGCACGACGCUGCAUCCCCAGGGUCGAAAAGAAACCGGGGGAGAGCAAAGAAAGCUAGCGGGGUUAUGGAGGCUGUACACUUUAAUCACAGCACUCCAAAAGACAUUGGGCUGUUUCCAUGUGGGACAUGCGGUAAAGCGUUUACAGAGGCUUCCCGGUUAAAGAACCACGAAGCGCAACACGGAGCACACCUCGGUGUAAACAACGUCAGUGACAGCCUGUCAACAGCGGGCGGCAUUUCUUUAAUGUCUCCGUCUGCUCUGGAGGAAAACGGCGUGCAGUUACACGGAGGGCUGGACAACGGUCGCAAACGGGAGAGGACCAGGCGGCAUGUUGGCUGUGACAUUUGCGGUAAAGUUUUCCGCGACGUUUACCACCUGAACCGACACAAGCUCUCCCAUUCCGGGGAGAAGCCGUACGCAUGCCAUGUGUGCGGACUCCGGUUCAAACGUAAGGACAGGAUGUCAUACCAUGUUCGCUCCCAUGACGGCUCGGUCGGCAAACCUUAUGUGUGCCAAAGCUGUGGUAAAGGUUUUUCAAGACCAGACCACCUGAAUGGACAUAUCAAACAGGUUCACACAACAGAGAGACCCCACAAGUGCCAGAUUUGUAAUGCCUCUUUUGCUACAAGAGAUCGCCUCCGGUCACACCUUGCAUGCCAUGAGGACAAAAUCCCCUGCAAGGUUUGCGGCAAGUUUCUGCGUGCUGCCUACAUGACAGACCACCUCAAAAAACACAGCGAAGGGACGCAUAACUACUGUGGCAUUUGCAACAAAGGUUUCUCCACUGCGUCCUACCUUAAGGUGCAUAUAAAGACACACCAUGGCUCUCCACUGCCCCCCUCCGCCACAAUGCACGUCUUCCCUGAACCACGGGGGGAGCUGCAGAUGCACAACGGCACCCCUUACCACAUGGGACGCCAGUGCUCGGUGGAAGACCUGUGCGCCAGUCGCCAGCUGCUUCUCACCUCCACUGAGGCAGAGGGUCGCUUUCAUGGGCUCUCUGGACCCCCAGUGCUCCCCCAGCCUGGCCCUCUGCAGCCUGAGCUCAUGGGGAAGGCAGGUGGGGCUCCGUAUUUCUGGGAUUGUCGCUCUGGCGGGGUGCCUGGCUUCCCCGUCCAUGGGCCUGCUGCAGACGGGCAGGAAAACACUGGGAAGUGUCCUCAUCUGGAAUCAGAAGAAUCCGAUCCUUCAUUUGGGGAAUUGUCUAACGGUGACGAGCUUAAAUCUCCUCAGAAACCUGACGAGCCGGAGCUGGAGAUGCCCUCUUUGGCCUGUAAUGGGGCCUCUACCGGGGCCCUCAGCUCCCCCGAGGGAUCUAAAGCCAAGACGGACCCUGAGAAGAAGUUUAUCUGCAGCAUUUGCGGUCAGGCUUUCCGCACCAAGUCCUACCUCAACAAGCACCAGCACAGAGUUCACAAAGCCCAGAAGGCCCAGGGGACCUCAGGGCCGGCCUUAAAUGAGCUGGGCCCCUCCCUGACCUCUCCCUUCUCCCCCCAACAGAACAUGUCUCUGCUCGAGUCUUUUGGCUUUCAGAUAGUCCAGUCUGCUUUUGCCUCUUCUCUGGUGGAUGCUGAGGCGGGUCAGAGUGGAAUUGACUUUGGAGCGAAGUGACUUAUUUGCUAACGUUCAUUUCAGGACAAAGAAGAUGCUCUGUAUUUGGGAAUAACUUUGCCUCAAGGGCAGGAGAACAUAUAACGCAAACAACCAAAACAAAAAGGGGGAAAGCUGAGCUGAACAUACAGCGUUGAUGCCGCAGAACUGAACCCCGGCACAGGGGAUGAUGAGAGUCAGAAGCUGCCAUCUCACACAGCGAGAGCAGAGGACAUCCUUCACAGUCUUCGCCUUCUCUCCCUGAGUGCUCUCUCUCUCUUUCUUCAUGUCGUCCAGCUCCAGUUUUAAGUCGUCCUCCUGCCACAGCCACUGCAAAGCUUUCACAUAAACACACAUCACGCAUCAUGCUAGAGUUUUAAUACUGUGACUAAAACUACUAAACCUGUCUGUGCUUGACAUGUUGGACAGUUCACCCAAAGAAAGAACAAAUGUUCACACAUCUGCCCUGGGUUGCUACUUAUUAAUGUAGAUAGAACUAGUGCAAGUGGCUAGUUGUAGUAGUUGGGAUAUCUGCUAUAGUAAUAAUGGGAAUAAGAAGCACUUGUUUGUGGUGGUCAAAGUGCAAAAACAGUUAAUUUGAAAAACACAACAGCAAUAUCUCUUUCCAGGAAUCAUGACCCAAGAUAAUUAACAGACCUUGUUUUGAGCUGUUUCAUGUAGGAAGAGUUUGCAAAUAUUAUUAGCAACAUUCAUUCAUGCCACGAUUUUUUUUUGCUACCAUGGUUUCAACUCUAUUACAGCGUUCAACAACACAUCCUUGAAUGCAACAGGAUGUGUUUGUGGCUGUUUUUUUAUUUAUUUGGAUGAGGCAAUGGAUGAAAGCUCAGUUCACUGUGUCUAAACUUUAAAGGGUAUCAGUAAACUUUAGAAUCCAGAAUGGACACAGAGUCCACUCACCUUUUAUGCUGCCUUCAGUGUCUCCUUUGUCAAUGUAAAGGUAUCUGGGUGACUCAGGGAAGAAAAGCAGCGUCACAAGCUGCAGGAUGGCAGGAAUACCACUGACAGCUAAGAGGUAUGGCCACAUGUCUUCUGUUCCCAUUAUCUCCCUAAACAGUGAAUAACAAAGGAAAUCUGUUAAGUAGCAGGAAAAAGGAAAUACUGUAGAUAUUCGAAUUGGCCCUUACGUUACAGAAAUUAAGAUAGCUUACUACAUCACUUUUGCUGUUCUAAUGCUGACUAAUUAUUAAAACAAAGUUGAAAAGUUAUUGCGCUUUAGUCCGUUAAUGAACAACUCAUGGCAUUUGACUGCGUAGGCAAAUUUUUUAUAUAGGUAUUCAUUUUCUUUCUUUCUUGAAAAUAUGUUUUUCUCAUAAAUAUUAGAGUACCAUAAAUCAGUUCUUACUUGAUGCCAAUUAUUUGACCAAUGACCUUUCCAAAUCCAAUGAAUAUUGAGCCUGUGAGAGUCAUGAAACCCCUGAGUUUCUUUGGAGAACUCUCUCCGAGGUACAUGAGGUGCACACUCAAGCCAAGACCUGUGGGGAGAGACAAGGAGAAAAUAGCUAUAAAACAAUCUGACCAAAAAUGCCAACUAUACUUUUGAUUCAAUUAAAAGAGUAGGUCAAAUAAAUGAAAACUCUUGUAAUAAUUGUUCCCAUUAUGCCUGACACUCUUUCUCAUAAUCAGAACAUACCAACAUUAUAUCCGUAGAGGAAUCUGCCCAGCAAGAUCAUCUCAAAAGACUUGGCCAUUCGACUGAAGAGCAUGAGAAUGGCAGCCACAAUCGCCACUACAUUGUUGAACAAGAGAGCUUUUUUCCUGCAAAAACAAAAGAAACAAUAAAGAUUGGUAACUUAUGUCACUGCUGACAUAAGUUACCUUAUGUGUGGCCAAAUCUGGUCUGGUUAGCAUAUUCAUGUAGCUUUUGCACAGAGCAAACUACAUUUUCAACUUUUGUAGCUGAAGAAGUGUGAUUCUGGGCAAUUGUAUCGUGUAUAAAUAGAUUCAGUGGAAGAACAAUCCAGAACUUUUAUUAAGACUGCCACUCAGUCACUUUAAGAUGCAAUUUAUUUUUUGAUUGUAUGUUGUACUGUGUAUGGUGAGUGUUGUUUUAUCAAAAUGUGUCAGUACCAAACACACAUUUCUGAAUCUAAUUGUCUUAUUAAACAUGAACCUGAAUGUUGGCCAACUCUUUCUUUUGGCUCUCUGAGUCAGAGAGGUUUUAAAACCAGACAUUUUAGCAAACAUUCUGACGAUCUAUCUCACCCAACAGAUGUCUUUCAGAUAAUAUAAUUGUAUAAAAGUGUGUAUCUCUAUACCUGCCGUAAGUGACGGGAAUGCUGCCGCUGUGAACGGCCCCGGCCACGGCCCCAAGACUCAACACGGCCACGAUGAAGGACCAGAUGAGCUGGUUGGAGGAGUCAUCCACUGGAGCUCCGUACCUCCACAACCAGGCAGGAAGAGGCCGACAAACAGCGCAGACAGCAGGCAGACGGCUCCGAAAGGCACAAAGCAGAACUCGCUCAACUCACUCUGUAAAAGAAAGUAGCAGAGAGCCAUCAGACUGAUGUGAAGAUAUAUCAAUGACUACUGAAAUGUCUGAUGGUGUGCUACAAUUUGAAACAAGUUUGCCUGUUCUUUUGUUGUUUAUGUAUUCAAUUACAAAACAUUAUAUUAUUGGGAAUGUUUGAACUAAAAGCUUAACUUCAAAUUCCAUAAAGCCUCAGUUUUAGACUAUGAACUCUGGGUGGCGCUAUAAGAUGCCUUUUGUUAUUUAUAAGAAGUUAAUCAUUGGGCAUUUUACACUGCUUGUAGUCUUAAGUCACUUAAUCAUUAGAUAAAUCAACCCCCCCCCCCCCCCCCAUCUCAAGAAAGGCGAUUGAAGAGGUUAUGUUUCAUUUAAUUCUAUAAUAAAUAGAUUAACCAUAAACCCUUUUUUUCUUUAAGCAUGUUUGCUUGUUAUUUUAUAUGGAAGUUAUAAUUACAUUUGGUCUGACAAUGACAAUAUUACAAAAUGAUAUUAAAAAAAACAAUGAAGCAUUCAAUUUAAAGGAAACAACCAAUAAAUAAUUCACCAAAAAAGGACUAGACUGAAAGUACAGCAUACAAUAUCUUAAUAAUCUUUCACUACUAGGUGUUAUGUGUUUACCACCUUCUUUGCUCAUUUUCAUUUAAUCAUUUUUUUAUUUGUUAAUUGACCUACACACUCAUCGUCUAUCACAUUCCAGCAGUAAACUCCUUUGACAGAUAUUGUUUAUGUAAAUAUAGUAGAGUUGGAGAUGGGAAACAAACAAGGAGCAUGUUUAAAAUAAUGCUUUAAUUUUCUCUUUUGAUAAUGUUGCACUCUACUUUUUAAUUUCCUCAACGUGUGCAUAUGCAUUUAUUGUCUUUACAUGUGAUGUGGAUGUGAAGUGACAGACUGACCAUUAUAAAGGGAAAGAUCAUCCCCAUGAUGAAGAGGUUGAGCCACAUCAUGGAGCCCGCGAUCAUGUAGGCGGCCGGCCGAGCCGUCUGAUCGAAGAGCUCCGUCGGCAGAAUGCCAGUCACUCCAGCUAAGGAAAAACAAAAACAUAUAGAACAGAGCUUCAUACCACCUAUAUAUUAUUAACAGUAUAAAUAUAAUCUGUCUUUUAUAGCCUGACCCGUACUGGUUUUUGAUAACACAUAAUAGUGAUAAGUUGCUUCAUUACAGUAGAACUCGAAAUUGUCAUUAAAGAAAACAUUUGUAUUCAAAACAUAAUAUGGACAUUUCUUAUAUAGUAUUAGUAGUUAAUUUAUUUAUCUGGAAGGCUGUGAUUAUUUUAAUUUCAUGAAUGCAUCUUGAUGUGAAAUUGUAUUUAUUUAUUUGUUUAUUCCACACAUGGCAGUUAUUUUAAAACAAAACAUGUACAACUUUACAAAACAUGUACACUUAUACUGGUUUAUUUUUAUAGCGCAUGAUGGAAAGGAGCUGGGAGAAGAACAUCUUAUUUUACCUAUCCCUUCUUACAACAAAAUAACAACAAAAAGAAAAUGAAAUAACAAUUAAAAAGUCAAAUAAAAGCAAUAUUCUUUCAGUCGCUUACAAAUACUGAAACAUAAAACCUGAAGACAAUCAAAAGUCAAUUUCAUACUUUCUAAUUGUGUUUGUAUGUUUUAGAUUUUACCAUAGUAUAUAAAAAAAGGCUUCAAACAGACCUGGUCCCAUGCCAAAGCUGAGGAUGUAUGUGAAUAUGCAGGCCAUGCUCAGGUACGGCAUCCAGGAUGUAUAGUGCUGUUUGCAUGUGUACAGAAAAGAGAAAAAUAAACAGUGAGACUCUCAGAAAAAGAAACCAGAUCCCUUUCAAAUUUCAUAAAUUAAUGAUAGACUUGUGAUGCUCAGUUCACUGCCGAAACCUCAUAUAAUAAUCACAACUAUGAAUUAGCAUUGGACUAGUAUAACAUAUAGGUUAUGUGGGUAGGUUAAGUGAUGUUAAAUACCUCAAAUGACAGAGCAAUUGUGAAGACCACAGCCCAGAUGGUCAUGAAGAUGUAACCUCCCAUCAGCAUGAACCUCCGACCUUUACGCUCAAUCAGCAGGUUCUGAAAAACAUCAAAGAAUGGACAUCACUCUGCCAUUCACAUACAAAAUAAAUCAUAUUUAAGAUUUUAAAACACUAAAAAACACUUAUUCAGCAACCAAUGAACUUUUGGAAGAACAUACAUAACAUUCAUCUGUUUGCAACUCAUAUAUCAAUAUUCCAAUUACUGUAUAUAGACUAUUCUGCACUGUUUCUAUUAUAUUAUAUUUGAUUUACUUGAACUAUUUCAUCUGUGUUAUUGUGUUGCACUGUUGGAGGAGCCUGUGACCAGAGAUUUUCAUCGUCAUAAAUACACUCAAGCUAUGUACGAAUGACAAUAAAAGCCUUCAAUCUUGAAAAAAAUAAUCAUACUUUAAUAAAUAUAUAAUACUAACGCAUGGCAAACAUUGUCUGCAUAUUAGAAUACAUAUUUGUUUCUUGCUUGUGUAAUUUAUGAAAGUAUGGUAACUUUUGCAGGAAAAACAUAGAAGAUGCUUGUCAGUUUUUAUGUGAUGAUUUAUAUGAUGAAUUGGAAAUGGGGGACCCUGAUGUAAACCCUGAUGUAAACAAGACGAAAGUCUUUCUCUGGUCUGCAUCCCCUUAACAAUUGUAUGU